UACGGGGGGGGCAAGCGUUGUUCGGAAUUACUGGGCGUAAAGGGCUCGUAGGCGGCCAACUAAGUCGGAUGUGAAAUCCCCAGGCUUAACCUGGGAACUGCAUCCGAUACUGGAUGGCUUGAAUCCGGGAGAGGGAUGCAGAAUUCCAGGUGUAGCGGUGAAAUGCGUAGAUAUCUGGAGGAAUACCGGUGGCGAGGGCGGCAUCCUGGACCGGCAUUGACGCUGAUGAGCGAAAGCUAGGGGAGCAAACGGG
Molecule: ribosomal RNA, 253 nt
Filed under: uncultured bacterium
Lineage: Bacteria
Description: partial 16S ribosomal RNA
Rfam family: Bacterial small subunit ribosomal RNA
Source: RNAcentral